Molecule: long non-coding RNA, 565 nt
Organism: Oncorhynchus tshawytscha (Chinook salmon)
Lineage: Eukaryota; Metazoa; Chordata; Actinopteri; Salmoniformes; Salmonidae
Source: Ensembl
AUCUACACUACUAUAACAGGUCAGUUAUCUGGUGAUAGUAUAGUGUUGACAUCUACACUACUAUAACAGGUCAGUUAUCUGGUGAUAGUAUAGUGUUCUGAUAUCUACACUACUAUAACAGGUCAGUUAUCUGGUGAUAGUAUAGUGUUGCCAUCUACACUACUAUAACAGGUCAGUUAUCUGGUGAUAAUAUAGUGUUCUGAUAUCUACACUACUAUAACAGGUCAGUUAUCUGGUGAUAGUAUAGUGUUGACAUCUACACUACUAUAACAGGUCAGUUAUCUGGUGAUAGUAUAGUUCUGACAUCUACACUACUAUAACAGGUCAGUUAUCUGGUGAUAGUAUAGUGUUCUACACAUCUACACUACUGUAACAGGUCAGUUAUCUGGUGAUAGUAUAGUGUUGACAUCUACACUACUAUAACAGGUCAGUUAUCUGGUGAUAGUAUUGUGUUCUGACAUCUACACUAUAACAUGUCAGUUAUCUGGUGAUAGUGUAGUGUUCUGAUAUCUAAACUACUAUAACAGGUCAGUUAUCUGGUGAUAGUAUAGUGUUGACAUCUACA